GCCUAACACAUGCAAGUCGAGCGGUAGCACAGAGAGCUUGCUCUCGGGUGACGAGCGGCGGACGGGUGAGUAAUGUCUGGGAAACUGCCUGAUGGAGGGGGAUAACUACUGGAAACGGUAGCUAAUACCGCAUAACGUCGCAAGACCAAAGUGGGGGACCUUCGGGCCUCAUGCCAUCAGAUGUGCCCAGAUGGGAUUAGCUAGUAGGUGGGGUAAUGGCUCACCUAGGCGACGAUCCCUAGCUGGUCUGAGAGGAUGACCAGCCACACUGGAACUGAGACACGGUCCAGACUCCUACGGGAGGCAGCAG
RNAcentral lists this ribosomal RNA (310 nucleotides) under Percolomonas cosmopolitus. Its description in RNAcentral is "partial Bacterial small subunit ribosomal RNA". It matches the Rfam family "Bacterial small subunit ribosomal RNA", at positions 46 to 354 of the family's 1533-position model. Lineage: Eukaryota; Heterolobosea; Eutetramitea; Percolomonadida; Percolomonadidae. The record is from RNAcentral.